This is an RNA transcript of Hevea brasiliensis (rubber tree), 2721 nucleotides long. It is a transcript of the gene named pentatricopeptide repeat-containing protein At5g42310, chloroplastic, with no coding region annotated. The transcript is spliced from 5 exons. The record is from RefSeq and is a predicted model, not a curated record. NCBI's taxonomy places the organism in Eukaryota, Viridiplantae, Streptophyta, Magnoliopsida, Malpighiales, Euphorbiaceae.
CCACCGAACGAGUAAAAUAUCUGCAGUGCACCUGCUUUUUUCGCCCGUCGAUAAUCCAGACCUUCUUCCUUGUUGAGCCACCGUUGUUCGUUCUCUAGCUAGCUCUCUCUCUCUCUCUCUCUCUCUCCCCCUGAGGAUAAGCAUAAGCAUAAAAUGCUUCUUUUCCCACCACCUCCCCUGACUCGCUUUCCUUCAAUUCAAAUUCCUUCUCCAUUCCUCCUCCUGCACCACCACCACCAUCUUAUCUCCCAGCCGUCACUCUCAGCCACCGCUUCCACAACGGCACUAACCACUCCCACUAAUUUGGCUGACCCUUCUUUAUCUUCUACGAGACCGCUCAAUAACGACCAAAAUGACAUCGACGAUAUUCUCUCGCUCCAGAGCCGCCACUACGACUUCACUCCACUUCUUGACUUCUUGUCCAAACAAAUAUCAUCUUCUGGAACCUCCAUUGAUUCCGAGUUAGCUUCACCGACUUCACUAGAUGCCACAGAGUUUCAGCUUGCAGAGUCAUACAGGGCUGUCCCUGGUCCACUCUGGCACUCUCUCCUCAAAUCCCUCUGUACUUCUUCUUCUUCUUCUUCCAUCGACUUAGCGUACGCCGUUGUUUCAUGGCUCCAGAAACACAAUCUCUGUUUCUCCUAUGAGCUACUCUAUUCGAUUCUUAUUCACGCACUUGGCCGCUCGGAGAAGUUGUACGAGGCGUUUUUGCUGUCUCAGAAACAGACCUUAUCUCCUUUAACCUACAAUGCCCUAAUCAAUGCCUGUGCCCGCAACAACGAUCUUGAAAAGGCACUCAAUUUGAUUUCUAGAAUGCGUCAGGAUGGUUACCCGUCGGAUUUCGUCAACUACAGCUUGAUAAUUCAGUCUCUUACGCGAUCAAACAGAAUCGAUUCUGUGAUUCUGCAAAAGCUUUAUAAUGAAAUCGAGUGCGAUAAACUUGAGCUUGACGUUCAGCUCUUAAAUGACAUAAUUAUAGGCUUUGCAAAGGCAAGUGAUCCUAGCCGCGCUAUGGAAUUCCUAGGCAUGGUUCAAGGCAGUGGAUUGAGCCCAAGAACGGCGACUCUUGUGGCCGUUAUAUCAGCCUUGGGAGAAUCGGGAAGGACUACGGAAGCUGAGGCUAUUUUUGAAGAAAUGAAAGACAACGGAUUGAAACCCAGGACUAGAGCCUAUAAUGCACUUCUUAAGGGGUAUGUGAAAGCUGGUUUGCUGAGAGAUGCGGAAUUUGUUGUUUCGGAGAUGGAAAGGAGUGGGGUUUCACCAGAUGAACGCACGUAUAGUCUGCUAAUUGAUGCUUAUGCUAAUGCAGGCAGAUGGGAAAGCGCAAGAAUUGUGUUGAAGGAAAUGGAAGCGAGCAACGUGAUGCCUAAUUCCUAUGUUUUCAGCAGAAUUUUAGCUUCUUAUCGGGAUAGAGGGGAAUGGCAGAAAUCCUUUCAGGUUUUAAGGGAAAUGAAAAACUGUGGGGUGCGCCCUGAUAGGCAUUUUUACAAUGUCAUGAUUGAUACUUUUGGCAAGUUUGAUUGCCUUGAUCAUGCAAUGGCUACCUUUGAUAGGAUGCUGUCUGAGGGGAUACAGCCUGACACAGUUACAUGGAAUACACUUAUAGACUGUCAUUGUAAGGCAGGGCGGCAUGAUAGAGCUGAGGAGUUGUUUGAGGAAAUGAUGGAAAAAGGUUACUCACCAUGUACUACAACAUUUAACAUUAUGAUUAAUUCAUUUGGGGAGAAGCAGAGAUGGGAAGAUGUGAAAAAUUUGAUGGGGAAUAUGCGGAGUCAGGGUUUAUUGCCUAAUGUUGUAACGUAUACCACACUCAUUGAUAUUUAUGGGCAAUCAGGGAGAUUUAACGAUGCGAUUGAAUGCUUGGAGGAUAUGAAGUCUGCAGGGUUGAAACCAUCCUCUACCAUGUAUAAUGCAUUGAUAAAUGCCUAUGCACAAAGGGGUUUAUCUGAGCAAGCAGUAAAUGCGAUUAGGUUAAUGAGAGCAGAUGGCCUGAGGCCUAGUAUUUUAGCUCUGAAUUCCUUGAUCAAUGCAUUUGGCGAGGAUAGGAGAGAUGCUGAAGCAUUUGCAGUGCUGCAAUACAUGAAGGAAAAUGAUUUGAAGCCAGAUGUGGUAACGUAUACUACUCUUAUGAAAGCUUUGAUUCGUGUAGAUAAAUUUAAUAAGGUGCCAUCUGUGUAUGAAGAAAUGAUUUCGGCUGGGUGCACUCCAGAUAGGAAAGCUAGAGCAAUGCUGCGCUCUGCACUAAGAUACAUGAAGCAAACACUAAAAUUAUAGGAAACAAGUAAGAUUUCCCGGACCAGGUGAACUGUGGGAUCAGUUGUCUUGGACUCAUUUUUAAGGUCAUUAUUCAUUUUGCCAAUUUAAGGAACAACUAUAUGUUUGUACAUGAAUAAUUGGGAAGGGUUUUCAUCCGGGAACAACGGGAUUCUGGAUCCAAAAACCAUACCUUAAGAUCAAAACACAGAUUUGAGGACAUCUUCAUUCAUCCUCUCUCAUUUAGAUUGUAAAGUUCUCUGUUUCAUACAAACACCAAGUAAUGUACAAGUUGUAUCAGUGUCAUGUAUUAUAAUGAGAAUUGACAACUCCAAUUACUCUUGUAUCAUAAAGGAAAAUAGGUGCAAUUUCUUAAUAGAAUUACAUCCUUGUUACUCUGUAACAUAAUGAUUCUACAAAAACAGUGGACGUUUAAGUUUCUGUUAUACAAUGGUUAUUUGCCUGCCA